UGGGGAAUAUUGGGCAAUGGGCGAAAGCCUGACCCAGCUAUGCCGCGUGAGUGAUGAAGGCCUUAGGGUUGUAAAGCUCUUUUAAGUGGGAAGAUAAUGACGGUACCACUAGAAUAAGCCCCGGCUAACUUCGUGCCAGCAGCCGCGGUAAUACGAAGGGGGCAAGCGUUGCUCGGAUUUAUUGGGCGUAAAGGGUGUGUAGGUGGUUUGAUAAGUUAGGUGUGAAAGCCCUGGGCUUAACCCGGGAAUUGCACUUAAAACUAUCAGACUUGAAGAUCACAGAGGUAAGCAGAAUUUCCAGUGUAGAGGUGAAAUUCGUAGAUAUUGGAAAGAAUACCAACGGCGUAGGCAGCUUACUGGGUGAUACUUGACACUGAGGCACGAAAGCGUGGGGAGCAAA
This 400-nucleotide ribosomal RNA is filed under the name uncultured bacterium. RNAcentral describes it as "bacterial SSU rRNA". It matches the Rfam family "Bacterial small subunit ribosomal RNA", at positions 355 to 772 of the family's 1533-position model. The record is from RNAcentral.